This is a long non-coding RNA of Quercus robur (English oak), 491 nucleotides long. RefSeq lists it as uncharacterized. Lineage: Eukaryota; Viridiplantae; Streptophyta; Magnoliopsida; Fagales; Fagaceae. The transcript is spliced from 2 exons. The record is from RefSeq and is a predicted model, not a curated record.
UCUUGCACACAUAGAAUUGAUAGGUCUAGUCCUGAACGGUUCAAUGAUGGGAUCAGCCUAAGGGAUUGGCUUAAACCUGGGCAUAGUAAACUAAACAAAGCUGAAAGUGUGCUUAUAUUCAGGCAGAUUGUGGAGUUAGUGGAUUCUGCACACUCUCAAGGAGUUGUCUUAAAUGACUUACGGCCAUCUUGUUUCUUUUUACUGCAAUCAAGUAGAGUUAAAUACACUGGUUCUUCUACUUGAUGUCAGAGAAUUAGAGGGUGUGAUGUGUCAAGAAUCAUUUCGGAAAAGGCCAUUGGAACAAAAUGAGCAUGCCUACCUUAGUUUGGGUGCAAAGCAGCGAAGAAUAUAACCCCAAGUUCUGGUAAUGAAAUUUUAGGACGAUUUGAAAUUCUGGGUUUUGUGAAUUUUUCAAGAAAGCAGUGUGUGAGGCGGCUCCAACUAAGAAAGCAGACUCAGCUGCAAAGAGGGCUCGUCAAGCUGAGAAAAGG